CUGACAUGACCUGAGAGAGGGUUAGAGAAGGGUUAAGUGGCACAGAAGAGUAUGAGAGAGAGGGAGAGAUGGGGGAAAGAGGGACUUUCUGUUUUCUUCUCUUUUACAUUCACCCUGGGUUCUCGCAAGGCUACUUGCGACUGUCUUUCUGUCUGCCAUCACUUUUUCUUAGCCGAUUUCUGAUUGUUUCUCUAAAAAGAGAACUAGGCUAGUUUGUCCUUUCACCUUAUCUCAUUACUGAAUUAACGAUACCAUUAUUUCACUUUCACUCAUACACCCACUCUCUGCUGUUUGACGAAUCAAGCACAUUGUUUCUCUCAAUUCCCUCUGCUAGUAUGCACUAGGGUGUUUAUUUUUGUAGUACAUCUUUGAUGCAAUCAAGCCUGUUGUUUAAUGGAAUAGAAUGAGCACCAUCAGGUUAUUGUAAUUCCCCUGCUCAUUAACUGGCAGUGUUGCUGGUAGGUGCACAAAGUCAUUAGUUAUGUUAUAAGAUGUUAUAAAUGAUUAUCUUGAGUUUUGGUUGCCACAAUACUGAAUAACUCAGUAAUCCAUAUCUCAAGGACAUAUUACUACAUUGGUUUUAAAAUAUAUAGUUGCUAUUGACAGACAGGAAAUGCAGAUAAUACCCGCAAGAAGUUCAGGUUAUCUUCUUUUUGACAGGCACAACAGGAUGAAGCAUCCCCAUCAUGAAAUUAUUUCAUGAUCAGAGCUCAUUACAGCAACAGACCCAAUUAAAGCUGACCCAGGGUCAACACUUUAAAUAAAGGAAAUCACUUUACUCUUUGGACAAAUCACAAUUUUAACCACUUGUAUAAACAGAAGACCAUCUAAAAACAGAAGAUUUGAUUGAGGUGAUGAUGUAGAAUGAAAUCUAUCUAGACACCAUUUCUGUUUUUAGAUGAUCAACCGUACGACCAAUGACUGAGUAUGCCACAUUUGACUUUUAAGUGUGAAAGAGUUUGUCUUGAGCUAAAAAUAAAACCCAUCAACUGCUGAUCAUUGCUCAAUAAUUAGCCAAAGGCUCCUUCCAGAUUAUUAUAACAUAGAGAAUAUAAAAAAGAUGAUAUGUACCGUACACAUUUUUGUGUCUCAAUUUCGACCAGGCCAACAAAAAAUGGGUCCGACUCAACUGGCGUGGACCAGAUUUGCCAGAUGUCCAAUCCACACAGACACAGAACACACGUACGCUCCACGCAAACAACAAGGUCUCCAGCAGGCCUUCUCCAUAUCCAGCGACUGCUGACUUCAAAAAUAAUUUAUUAGCUGGCCACAUCUGUAAGCCAUUGGAGCUGUUGUUUUGCGCUGGGUCGUGCAAGCAACCGGGGCUGGUUGCUCUGUCCGGGUCCCCAGCCCCCCCAGUCCCCAGCACAGGACAUCAUUAGGAGAGAGGGGGAAGGGCAGGGCUUGAACCAUCCAACCAUUUCACGCACCAAGGACUUUGUGAUCAACAUGGUUACUAAACCUCUCAAGUUCAUUAACAUUUUAAACGGCUUCUAAAGUCCCCCUUGGCGCCCCAUUGGAAAACAAUUCCUUUCUUUUCUUAAGAAUUCUCACUCCAAUGGGAAACCUUGAAUUGAAGCUCAGGGGUCCCUUUGGUGUCGACAUUAAUAGUCAGAGUCCAUAUGCAUGCAAAUUCAUAUGAGGGCUAUUGGAGGGGAUGGAUGGAGAGGAUAUUUGCAUGUUUUGUUCAUCUCGGGGUGCGUGUCUUUGGGUGGGCUGACGUUAAAUGGAGAUGAUCCAUGCAACCAAGGCAUUUGGAAAUUCUCUGUACAACGAAAGAGUCCAGCUCAAAGAAGAUGAUCCCAGUGGGAUCUGCUGACCCUAUUUUGUUUGUGUUUGCGUGUGUGUUUGCAUGUCCUUGUUUAACCUAAAACGUCUAAGUGUGUGUGUGUAUGUGUGUGUGUGUGUGUUUGCAUGUGUGUGUCUGCGUGUCUAUGCCUGAAUAAGUUUGUGUGUGUAUCUGUGUGUCCUUGUUCUGCUUGAAAAGUGUUUGUGUGUGUCCUAUAUUACCUACAGCAGUGUAGAGUUGUGUGGUGUGUGUCAAAGCCUUUGAAUGUAUACACUAUCUGGCCCCAAUUGGAAAAGGGUGUGUGUGGUGUGUGUUGUGGUCCCAUUCUAAACCACAUAGCCAGGCAAUCAGGGUUGAUGGAUAGGCCUACCCUGGAGAGAGGCCUCCUCUGCCUUGUGUCUCUGGGGAUUAUACUGCUCAGCCAUCUCUCCUUACUCAUCACAUACACACACACACACACACACAAACCCAUGCGCUGAUUAAUGGUGGGAUGUGUGUGUUUGUUUAUACAGUCUUCCCGGGAUUAGGGAAGGCUAUGUCGGGAAAGUCGGGAAUAACAGGUGAGGUUCUUGUGAUGAGGCCUGUUUCCAUGACGACUGCCGGUGAAAAGAGUUAAGUCACCCACGCAGACUGACACACACACACAGAUUUGCAACAACACAAGCAUGUGCACACACAGAAAAUGGAUGCGCUUGCAGACACCCAACGUGGAAGAGGUAGAUGUCAGAUCCUCUCAUUUCCUAUGUUGUCUCUUUUUCCACCUAACUUGAAAACCAGGGUAACAGCCUGACAGCAGACUCUGCUAACAAGGAAACCACUAUCAAAACAAGAUACUCCAUGAACCGAAGGGACAUUGAGCACAUCUUCCCUUUCUUCAUGUCACCAGCCCAAAUAAAGUUCCCACGGACAGUCAUUUUCCAACCAUGUGUCAGGUCUGCAGUAAACAUGGCGCUCAGUGGGACUCAUCCAUGCCCAGAACAAAUCCCGACAACUUGACUGAAGAAUCUGACCUCCUUUUCUUCUUCAAAUAUCUGAAAGGCCGGUGGUGGAUGGUCCCCUUCAGGGGUGUGAGGUGCGGGAGGUUCCCCCUCCCCCUCUGGACAUCGAGGGGGCCCCGGCGUACUCGGUCCGCUCCAUCAUCGACUCGAGGUGCCGGGCGGGGGGCCUCCAGUACCUCGUGGAGUGGGAGGGGUACGGCCCGGAGGAGCGGAGCUGGGUUCCGGUGAAGGACGUCCUGGCUCCCGUCCUUGUCCGCGAAUUCCACCAGCGUCGGCCGGAUCGCCCUGCUCCGCGCCCCCCCGGGUCGGCCCCGAGGCCGGUGCCGUCGCGCGGCUAGGGCCGCGUGUCAGGGGGGGGGUACUGUGACGACUACGACCUCUGCUGGUUCACCUCCCCCUGCAGCGGGCGGGCCCCGGCGGUCGACGUCACCGGCUUUCUGACACCACCGUCUCAUCAUGCAUUUCACCUGUGUCUCGUUUAGUGCACCUGUUCAUCAUCGCUGUUUCCCCCGGUAUAUAUGUUCCCUCUGCUCCCCCUGUCUUUG
This is a long non-coding RNA of Esox lucius (northern pike), 3332 nucleotides long. Lineage: Eukaryota; Metazoa; Chordata; Actinopteri; Esociformes; Esocidae. The record is from Ensembl.